Molecule: non-coding RNA, 75 nt
Organism: Ictidomys tridecemlineatus (thirteen-lined ground squirrel)
Lineage: Eukaryota; Metazoa; Chordata; Mammalia; Rodentia; Sciuridae
Source: Rfam
GUGGCUGUGGCUCAGCAGUAGAGCGCUUGUCUAGCAUGUGUGAGAGAGACCCUGGGUUCGAUUCUCAGCACCACA